RNAcentral lists this ribosomal RNA (465 nucleotides) under uncultured bacterium. RNAcentral's name for it is "partial 16S ribosomal RNA". It matches the Rfam family "Bacterial small subunit ribosomal RNA", at positions 339 to 795 of the family's 1533-position model. The record is from RNAcentral.
CUAUGGGAGGCUGCAGUGGGGAAUAUUGGACAAUGGGGGAAACCCUGAUCCAGCAAUGCCGCGUGUGUGAAUAAGGCCUGCGGGUUGUAAAGCACUUUCGGUUGGGAGGACUGCUUCUAGCACUAAUAUUGUUGGAAGUUGACGUUACCUUCAGAAGAAGCACCGGCUAACUCCGUGCCAGCAGCCGCGGUAAUACGGAGGGUGCAAGUGUUAAUCGGAAUUACUGGGCGUAAAGCGCGCGUAGGCGGCUAGAUCAGUCGGGUGUGAAAGCACCGGGCUUAACCUGGGAACUGCAUCCGAUACUGUCUAGCUUGAGUACAGGAGAGGAGAGUGGAAUUCCACAUGUAGCGGUGAAAUGCGUAGAUAUGUGGAGGAACACCAAUGGCGAAGGCAGCUCUCUGGCCUGAUACUGACGCUGAGGUGCGAAAGCGUGGGGAGCAAACAGGAUUAGAUACCCGAGUAGUC